AGAAAAGAGGGGGGGAUGAGGGGGGAUUGCUUAAUGGCUAGUGACGCAUCGUACUUGAGGAGGUGAGAUGUAUUUUAUUUUCCACAUGGUUAUUUGGUGGGCAAAAUUUUAUGUUAAUAUUUAUUGUCACUUGUGCUUAUGAAUGGGGUUCCUAUGCUGUUCUUGUUGUGUGGGGUUUCAUUUCCGGGUUCGUGGCCUGGUGCAUGUUUCUUGUUGUGUGAACAGUUGGUUGGCGGACAUAAAGCUAAUUGGCAGAGCUUGUACACUUUCGCAAUGCUUUUGUGCUUGUUACAUUAAUACGUCAGGAUUUGUUUAUCUGCGGUGUGGUUAUCAAGCGCAUAAGACAAAGCAAUUGACAUCUAUUUUGCUCGUCAAGUAGCCUUGGACUUAGGGUUGUGUUUUAAGUGAUAAAAUUAUAAGCAGCCGUAUAUGGAAGUGUUUUUCUUUUCUUCGGUACAUUUCAAAUUCUUAAAGAGGAAAGGGCUUCCAAAAUCUCAAUUACUGGUUCGAAGUGAUCUACUUUCAUCAAGUUUCUUCCUGCUAGACCAUGAUUUUCGGUACAAUUUCAUGCGGAAAUUAGAUAAAAAAAAUAAGUAGAGAAAAUGGAAUUAUAAUAUGAAUUUUGCUGGGUGUGGUAAUUCAUUACGAUGAAGAGUCCUUGUAAGUUGCAAAAUUCUUCUAUGUUUUUUGACCUUUUUAUGUUUUCUGUCUGUAUUUUCUUGCUCACAAUAGUGAGUCCGCACAUCAACCAUUUUUGUUUCAAAUGCAGUAAAUUCAAUAUUCGCUUUAA
RNAcentral lists this unclassified non-coding RNA (790 nucleotides) under Hevea brasiliensis (rubber tree). Lineage: Eukaryota; Viridiplantae; Streptophyta; Magnoliopsida; Malpighiales; Euphorbiaceae. The record is from RNAcentral.